AUGAUCGGUGAAAUGGAUGCGGACAGUGUUGUAGGAUAUUUCAGGGGCAAGAGUAUCCUCAUCACUGGUUCAACUGGCUUCCUAGGCAAAGUGCUCGUAGAGAAGAUACUGAGGGUUCAGCCUGAUGUGAAGAAGCUCUACCUCUUGAUUCGGGCCCCUGAUGCUGAAUCCGCGAAGCUUCGAAUUCAGACUGAGAUCAUAGGUCGGGAGAUCUUUCACGUGCUAAAAGAAAAACAUGGUGUGCAGUUUAAUAAUUUCAUUGAAGAAAAGAUAUGUCCUCUGGUGGGAGAUAUCAUUUAUGAAAACUUUGGACUAGACAAUGUCCAGCUCGAGGAAUUGUCCAAGGACAUAGAUGUCAUUGUCAACGGAGCUGCAACUACAAAUUUCUUUGAAAGAUAUGAUGUAGCUUUCGAUGUGAAUGUCUUGGGAGUGAAGCACGUCUGCGCAUUUGGAGCGAAAUGUCCUAAACUCAAGAUGUUUCUUCAUGUUUCAACUGCGUAUGUAGCUGGUGAACAAGAGGGGAUAAUACCAGAGAAGCCGAUCUUGAUGGGCGAGACCCUAAAGGUGGGCACACAUCUGGACAUCGAGUCCGAGUUAAUUUUAGUCAAGGAUACCAUGCUAGAACUAAAAGCUAGCUGUUCCACGGAAAAGGAUGGGAGGAAAACCAUGAAGGAGCUUGGCUUCAAGAGGGCACGACACUUCGGGUGGCCAAACACCUAUGUCUUCACCAAGGCAAUGGGGGAGAUGAUUAUGGGGAACCUACCAAUAGACUUUCCGGUUGUCAUCAUCCGCCCGAGCAUUAUAACCAGCACCCUCAAAGAGCCAUUGCCUGGAUGGAUGGAAGGAAUCAAGACAAUCGACUCGGUGGUCAUCGGAUACGCCAAGCAGACCUUGCCCUUCUUCCUAGUCGACCUAGAUUUAAUAAUGGAUGUGAUUCCAGGGGACAUGGUGGUCAAUGCUAUGAUGGUUGCCAUGGCAGCACACUCAGAGGAUCAGCAGGUGCAAGUCAUCUACCAUGUAACAUCGUCGAUGCGGAACCCGGCACCUUAUUCCAUCCUUUGGAAGUCUCUCUUUCAGUACUUCAAUGACAACCCCCCAUGCACGGGAAGGAAUGGUGAACGUGUUCGGCUGAAGAAGAUGCGGUUCUUCAGCACUGUCAUAUGGUUCAAGCUGUACAUGGCCGUCAAAUACAUGCUUCCCCUCGAGAUGCUUCGCCUAGUGAACAUUGCACUUUGCGGUGUUUUCUCACGGAGAUACAAUGAACUUAGCAGAAAAUUCAGAUUCAUGAUGCAGUUGAGCGAAUUAUAUGCACCCUACACGUUGUUCAAAGGGUGCUUUGAUGACAUCAACUUGGAUAAGCUCAGGAUGGGGAUGAACAAGGACAAUCAAAAUAACAAUGGAGCGUAUUACUUUGAUUUUGAUCCCAAGUACAUUGACUGGGGCGAUUAUUUCUACAAUGUUCACAUCCCUGGUGUGCUCAAAUACACGCGUGAUUGA
This 1497-nucleotide ribosomal RNA is filed under the name Triticum aestivum (bread wheat). RNAcentral's name for it is "partial small subunit ribosomal RNA". Lineage: Eukaryota; Viridiplantae; Streptophyta; Magnoliopsida; Poales; Poaceae. The record is from RNAcentral.